UUUUUUUUUUUUUUUGCAAGAAACAUUUAAAAUGGAUUCUUCAUACAUAAUAUAUAUCAUUUAUAUAUUUAUGUUUUACUUCUACCUGCUCCGAUGGUAUGCCAUUGUUAAGUAUAUGGCCAGUGAGGGAUGCUUUGAGCAUGUCCAUGCUUGGUGAUAAGCAUAGCUAUGUUUCCAGGGGAUGAACGUCUUCUUUUAUGUGUUCUUUCUGUUUGCAUGUCUUUCUUUACAUGAUGCUACCAUGUGAAAAGCAUUGUGAACAUGGCUUGGAGGUUCAAAUACUUCAAGCCUUAAAAGAUAAAUCUUCAUCUCGCUGAUCCACCACAACUUUUAGCCCCAGGUUAGGUAAAUAUUUUCUUUGUACCAUUGGUCAUUUUGGAGUUGUGAACUCCUCGGUUCAUCCCAUUCGUUUGAUUCAAGGAUCGAUUAAUGGAAACUUCAAAAUUUUGGUUUUAUUAUUAUUAUUAUUAUUAAAAGAGUAUUGAAUGUGGUAUAUAGUUAAGAAAAACAUACCAUUGAGCUAAUGAAAGUUUUAACAUAAAUGCACGGGUUCAAUUUCAAUUCUAACUAUUUGCAAAGAACCGAUCAGACAGGUCAUGGUUCUGGCCAACUUGUCCAUUUUUUUUCAGCACCAGUCCUUACAACUAAAUAUAACUAAAACUGGCUUAAGCUGUCUGUACUUUUAUCUCUGCCUUUACCGCUUUAUAGAGCCUUUCAAUUUAGGUGCAUAUGACAUUAUCUUUCUCCUUAUUCUUAUAGUUCUAGUUAAUUUUUACUUCCCUAAAAAAUGUUGAAGCUUUCUUUACUUUUUUAAUUUUAUUCUUCUUUUUUCCUUUUCUAAUCGUGUGAAUGUUCAUUAAAAUGACCAGACAAGUUGACUCCUGCUGCAUUUGAGAAGCAUUCUGGAAGAGAGACAGCUAGGAAAUGGAAAAAUAAUGUUUGGCUGAUAGUUAAAGGGGAGAAGGUUCCACUAUCAAAGACUGCAUUUCUAAAAUACUACAAUCAAGCAUCGAAAAAUGGCAAUGGUAUUCACAAAGCGCAUAGUGGAAGAGUUUGUCAUCGUGAUGAGUUUGUUCGCUGUAGCAGGUGUAAGAAGGAGAGAAGAUUUCGAUUGCGGACAAAAGAGGAAUGUAGGAUUCACCAUGAUGCUUUAGCAGAUGUGAACUGGAAAUGUUCUGAUAUUCUAUAUGACAGGUUUGUCUUCCCAUUAUUGAUUAUGUUCUUAUAUGAUAAAUUGCAUUUAUCAUGUUCAAGCCUGUUGCCUCAUGCGCAUUAAGGCAUUAGUAAUUCUUAAACAUGCUUCUAAAUCCAUGUUGUAAGAAUUAAAAUGUAAUAUGUAGAUAAUGCUUGUAGUAACAAGACACUUAUUUAUCUCCAAUUUAAUAUGUAUAUUGGAGUACGACUUUUCAAAAUCCAUAAGAUUAUUUCAUGAUCCGUUUCAUCUUUUGCUUCUCUAUCAUGAAGGCAUUUCAUGCGCUGUAGCUCAAUAUAUGACUACCUAGGAGGCAUGGACACGGACAUGUUUUUGGACAUACCAGAAUAUGUAUCAGACUGAGUCGGAUACAAAAAAUAUAAAAUAAUAUUAUUUCUAAACGGAGUCUGAUAUAGACAUUAAAAUAUCAAAACAUUGCCUAGAAAAGAAGAAAAAGCCAUUGCUUUGGUGAAGCAAUGGUGGCUGAAGAAGGUGAAGAAAAAGACAUCUACCUUGCACUGCUCGUAUUAAGCAGAGAGAAUAAAGAAACUUGGGAUUUUUGUCAAGUUAUAAAUUGGGCUUGUCAAUGAGCUGAUGGUCAAGCCCAAAUUAACAUUUCACUUAGUCUUAUUAAGGCCCAAAAACUAAAGAAGAUGACUUAGGUUUUUGCCUAAUGACAAUUUUAUGGCCUUUAUGUCUUGAGAUAGAAGGUUUUCUUAUAGAGAAAAAUAAUAAAAACAUUUAAACAUGGAAUUGAAUUAAUUAAAAUAUGUUUUUAAUUGUUUUAUCUUUAUCAUGCUGUGUCUUAUUUAAAAAAAAAAAAAACAACUGUCAUGUUUUGUCCUUUUCCCAUCAAAGGCAUGUCUUGUUUUUCUAAAAAAUGUCAUGUUUUUAUGUUCAUGUCAUGCCAUGCGGUAAAUUGUAUUCUGCAUGUGUCUUGCUUCAUAGAUGGCUACAGGAACUAAUGAUCAGUCAUUUUUAUUCCUCUUUUAGUUUGCUUUGCUAACCUUUUUUCUUACAUAUUUGCAUAAUUUGGCCUUGCAUAUGGAGUUGAUUCUUUUGCAUAAUGUGUAUUUAGUUGAUCAAAAUGGGUAGCAGCUUUUACAUCUCAUAAAUACCUAUGGGUUCAUAGCUUCUAAAAGUUAUCAAUAUUCUUUGCCAAUGAAACAAGCACCUGUAUUGCAGAUGAUCUUCACCUAAAAUCAGUUAGAUUGGAUGUUGAGAAACGUAAAAAGUAAAUUUGGUUGAAGAACCUAGUACUGAACAUAAAGCACAUAGUUUUGGCCCUAGUGCAGUUCUGGAUUAUUCACUUUUAAGAAAUUUAUCAACCAUGCUACAUUUGAUCUUUGCGUAAAGCUGGAAACCAUAAUGAGAAGCAUAAGAUCUUACCGUUUCAUCUAUUGGACCGCAAUGUAAUUGCUUUCCUAUAUGCUCGUAUUAGAAUUACCUGAUAAGGAGGCUACAAGAAAUGAGUUUGGCUGUUGAGUGUCCUUCAAAUUGGAGGAAAUUUACAGUCAAGCGCUAUUUGGGGUCCAUAAUAUGAAAUGGUGACAGGUUUAUUUUUCAAAGUCAUGAAAGGGGGGAUUGUGAGAUAGUUAGGUCUUUCUCAAGGAAGGAAUCUAGAUGUCCUAUUUUACAUAUCGAUUCUUAUCCUGAUAUGCCAGAUAUGUUUCAUUGGUUAUCUUAGAAAAGCUGCCAGGUAUUCUUGAUUAUCUUCCAUAAAUUUUUGGCACCAAAAGAUGAUUUACUUGUGCUAUUAGAAAAUAGCUCUAUAGUAACCAGCUCGUUUUCCUUGCAUAUUGUAAAGUUCUACUGUUCUUGCUUACCUGUCUGUUUGAUUGUUGCUUUUGGGGUUUGGAAAAUGCUUUUAGUUGGCAAGUUCACGAAAAUUAUAUAAUUUACCAGAACAUGCAGUUUUUCCUCUGAUUUGUUGUUAGUAAUAUUAUGAAUGCAAAUGCUGAGAGAGGACUUUCAAGUGUUUAUAAGUGAUGCUAUGCUGAAUUUGUUUGCAUGUGAAGGUAGUAUACACUCAUAAUUUGCUAUAUGUUAUGUAGAAUACACUUUGGCUCAGAAUUAACUUAUAUUCAAUGUUUCAGAAUAACAUGUGACGAUGAUGAAGAGAGAGCAAGUCGCAGGGUAUACAGGGGUUGCUCCCGUUCUCCAACAUGCAAGGGUUGCACUUCCUGUGUGUGUUUUGGGUGUGAAAUCUGUCGGUUCACUGAUUGCAGUUGCCAAACUUGCAUUGACUUCAUUAGGAAUGCCGAAGCUUGAGUUAUUUUAAGGGUGGGGAUUCCUUUUUGUUGUUCUGGUUCCUUGAAGACAUUGUCUUUCAUUACUAUUAAUUGCCAGUCCCUGAGUUCAGCACUCAUGGUGUCGUUAUCUGGUUUAAAAACUUCAAAUUAAUUUAUAUUUAGAUCUCAGCAUUGUUGUUUGGUCCAUAUUCCCAUUUCUCUUCUCUGCUAUUUGGUUUCUUUGUGGCGGUACUAAGUUUAUUGCUACUACUUAAAAGUGGUAUCUAUCUUUUGAGUAAAGCCCAGUUGGAACCGCAAUCUCCAACCCCAACCAAGGUGCAGAGUUAAAAAUACAAGAUUAGGGAGAGUAGUUAAACUAGGAUCAAACUUGUGCUGCUGCUGGUGAAACAGACACGCUAGAAACACCGUGCCCUUUCUUGCUAAGGUUUUUGUCUUUGUGACGAAUUCAGGAAUAAAAGAGAUUCCUAAUCUCAGUGGUGGUCUGUCUAUGAUUACCCAAAAAGUAUAAGCUUCUUUUUUGGAAACUCUCCACCUUCGUUUUCUUCAUCAUCGUAGGAAGAUGAUAACCAAGAUUAGGUGCCUCUCGUCCCCAUCUUUCCCUCGAUAGAUGUACUCAGCUUAACCCUAUCCUUCUUCCACCUUCACUCAAUAAUCAACUCAGUUGACCACUUCCGACUGCAAAGUAAAAAGUUAUAUAUAUAUAUAUGCGUGUAAAUUGAAGACAUUUGUAAUGAAGAAAAAUAGUAGGCAAAAGUAUAAUGGAGACAUUAUAAUGGAGACAUUUGUAUUAAAAGGUAAAUUGUAUUUUUCACUUUAUACUUAAGAAAUUGACAAAUUAACCUCUGAAUAUUUAAAAAAAGUGCAAAUUGGCUCUUCCGUUUAAAAUUUUAUUAGUAAUCAUUUGAUGUUUUUUAAAAUUUUUUAUGCAAGUGGCGUGGUAUUAAAGGAUGAGUAAGAUUAGGUAAUAAUAUCAUGGAGGCACUUGUAUUAGGAAUUAAAUUGUAUUUUGUCCUCUCUACUAAAAAAUGAGCAAAUUAGCUUUUGUACAUUAGAUUAAAGAGUAAAUUGGCUUUUUUGCUAAAAAAAUUAUCAAUUUCUACGAGUAAGUGAUGACAUGGAUGACGGAGAAAUUAGAUAGUGACAAUGGUGUGCCACAUGUAACUCAUGUUGAUUUGGCAUUUUGCAAUGUUAGUAAAUAUUUAAAAAUAAAAAAAAUCUCAAAACAAAUAUUUUUUUAUAAUUAUUUUAAAAAUCAUGUACAAGAUGAACUUAGACAAAAAAAAAUUAUAGAAAAUUAUUUAAAAAUAUAAAAAUACUGAAAUUAUUAAAAAUAUUUAAAAUAAUGCCGAUAAGGAACUUGGACAAAUGAUUUUUCAGAUUUAUUUUGGAGUGGUUUCUUAAAUAAUUAUUAAAUAUUUUAAAUGAUAAUAAUAAAUUAUUAUGAAAUGUUACUAUUAUAUGUGUAUAUAUUUGAAUUAUAAGAAACUAAUAAAAAUAUAAAGAAAGUUAAUAAAUUAAUAAAAUAGGACUCAUCAACUUGAUUAGCUAAAUAUAUCAACUCAAUUAAGAAGAUACAUAUGUGUAUGGUUUAAUUCCUUAAACAUGUUAUAUGUAUAUAAUUUUUUUAGAAAAUUAAUUAUUAUUUAUAAUUCUUAAUAAUAUUUAAAUAAAUUAUAUAUAUUAUUUUUUUUACAAUUAUUCAAAAAAUUAUUUGCUUAGGUUUAUCCUAGAUGCGAUUUUUUAAAAGAAUUAUAAAAAAUCUGUAAUACCCGAUUUUGGCCCGGGUAAAAAAGGCCCAAACAAAACAAACCCAAUUGCAACAAAAUAGGCCUAAAAUAAACGACCCAAACUUAAAGCCCAAUUACAGUUUAGCCCAAAUAGGCGAGAACAAUUUCUGAAACCCUAGCAACAGCAACGUCUCGCGCCGCAGCCCUCCGGAUCUUCACAAUCUUCACCUGCAAACACAAGAAAGGAAAGAAAAUCAAAUCGAAUCAAAUCAAAUCAAGUAGAUUUCUUGUUUUUUUGUUGUUUUAUUUCAUUUGGCUAUAAAAUAGCCAUUGUAAUACUGUAAUAGGAGGGGAAGGAGAAAUCAAUAAAAAAGCAUGAUUUUUUACAACACAAACAGAGGGCUCAAUAUUGAGAAAGCGAAAAAUUAGUUCAAAGGUCUAUAUUUCAUUUUUUUCACUUACUUUGUUUACUUUUUUUAUGUGUGUUUGUAUUUAUAUUUAUAUUUUUCUAAAACAUAUAAUAAAAAGGAAAGAAGUCACCUUUAGGGGUGCCCAGAUCGCUGUGGAUGGCCGAGGGUGUCGCCUCCGAUGACAGAUGACCAGAAGGCGAAGGGUUUCUCUGCUUUUAGGGGCACUUUUGUUGAUAUUUUGAGAGAUUUGAGCCCGGAUUUAGGCUUAGGGGGUCGAGAAGGUCAAACCGGGGAUUUUCCCCUUUUUCGACCACCGCAGACGGUGGUGCCGGCGCUAGAGAUCGGCGGCCGGCAUGGUGGCCGACGACCAGCCGAUGACCAAACCAGAGGCCAGUGCACGGAGGUUGAGAGCUUUUUUUUAAUUGAUUUUCGGUUUUUUUUUUGAAGGAAUGAAGAAAUGAAAUUUUUUUUAUAUUUUUGGCUUAAAUAGCCGAUUGAAAACUGCGCCGUUUUGAAGGGAGGAUCCGCGCGUCAACCCGACCCGGACCCAGGAUCCGCGUGUUUUUCAUGCGGAUGGGCAAAUUGCGCUUUUGGCCCCUCUGCCUUUUAAUAUAUUUCCAAUUAGGUUUUUUGUUUUUUUAAAUUUGGCCUUUAAUUUAUUUUAAAUUUCAAUUUAAUCCUUUUGAAAGGCGCCGUUUUAGAGGAGAAGGGAAAAUUGCUCUUCCAGCCCCUCUAUGUGAUUCACGCGUUCAAUUUAGUCCUCCAGACUUUAUUUAUUUGUGGAUUUACCCCAUAUUUUUUUACCUGCAAUCCAAUUUAGUCUUUUUAUAUUUUUCUUAAAAUUAAUUAAUUUUGAUAAUUGUUUUUUUAUUUUAUAAUUUUCAUAUGUAAUGAUUAUUAUUUUAUCUAUACAUGUAUAUUUAUUUUUAUGUAUGUAUUUAUACCCAAAAAAACUAAUAUUUUUCGUAUAUUUAUAUAUAUACACAUGUUUUAUUUAUUUAAUUAAUUUUGAUAUCAUUUUAAUUAUUUCAAACUUAUAUAUUUUUAUGUGUACAUGUAUACAUCUUUUUUUGUUUAUUUCAAUCAUUUGUUUAUUAAUUUAUGUUUGCAUAUUUUUAUUAUUAUCUUGCCCAUUUAUUUGAUAUUUUGCAUGUCAUUAUCUUAUUUAUUUAUUUAUUCAUAUCAUUUCUAUGAAAUUGUUGUAUUUAUUAUUGAUAUUUGUUUAAGGGGCAUCUAUUCACACAUUCAACAUAACAUUACACUAUCUUUCACUUAAUAUUUUAUAAUAAAAUGUUUCAAAAUAGAGAUAAUACUCGUAUUUAAGAUUUCUCAAGAAAAUUGAGCCAUAACAUAUUGGGUUCCGAUUUUUUUUGCAAAAUCUAACAAUUGAGGAUUGCUCUUUAAAUCAAAUAAAAUAAAACUUAUCAUUGGGAAUUCAAUGUGUUGUGUCCUAACGUAUUGGAUGUGACACGUUGAUUUCUCGAGAUAAAGAUUUUUAAAAAAUAAAAGAAAUAUUGAAUGUUUGGGAUUUUAAGGAAUUGUGCCCUAACGUAUUGGGCCACAAUUUCUUCAUAAAAUUUAAACAAUUAGAUAUUUUCUUAAAUUCUAUUACACGAAUUUUUGACUAACUCAUUGUGAAGAGAAUAAAAUAUUGUGCCCUAACGCAUUGGGUGUGAUGUUUUUCUUUCCAAAAUGAGAAGGUCUUAAUAAAUAAUUUAAUUUAAUUAAGGAUCGCGUUCUUUAAUUCUCGACUUCAAGACAUUAAUUAAUCAAUUUGGUACCAAUUUUUGGGCGUUACGGGGAUGCUAACCCUUCCUCGUACAUAACCUACUCCCGGAUCCAUUUUUCUAAAACUUGUAGACCAAAGCUAUUUUUUAGGUGAUCCAAUCACACCUCAAUAAAAGAUUAGUGGCGACUCCCAAACAACCUAAAAUUUUUGUUUUUAAAAAAAAAUAGUUUCGACAAAAUCAUUUAUUUUUUAGGAUUAUAAAGAUGAAAAGCAAUAAAUUAAAGUGAAGUGAGGUUGGUUAUUUGGAUUAAUUUGAUGAUUAUUGUGAAUGGACACACUAAUCUAGCUUUACACCAUUUCCUCAUUCUAUUGCAAUAGGUAUGCGUUUGAUUAAUUAGCAUUUUCGCUUCCCAAACUAAAUAUUUGGAAAUAAAAAUAGAAAACUUUAUUAUAUUUAAAUGUUAAAUGCUACCAAACAAAACGGAGCAAUCAAGGAUAUACAUAAAGCCAAUUUAUUCAAUGCGUGUACAAAUAUUGGUGAACUCAAUUUUGUAUUUUGAUGUAUGUUUAUUUAAUUUGCAUUUUUUGACAUUUAAAAUUUGUUGAAAAGUAACACUUCUUUUUUCUAUUUGAAUGAGUACCAAUUUAAUAAUUAAAUUUAAAGUAUAUUUAUUUUUAUUUUAAAAAAUUUUAACUAAUCAUUUUUCAGUAUUUCUUAUUCAAGAAAAACGAAAAUGGUUCUAUUACGUGACACCAAAUUUGGCUCCAUUUCAUCUUACUUUAUUUUCAAUAUAUAGUCCAUGAGCCACUAUCCUUAGUGAUGAGGAUUCAACACUUGCGGUCUUCCUUUUUUAGCAGAUAAGUUACAACCCAGUAUGAGCAAUAAGAUCAUGAGGGGGAGACACCACACAGUCCUUACCAUCAUUUCCAGAUCUACCAUUGUUUGCACUUUGUUACUUUCACCACUAACAAACGAGGAUACAACCAUUUUGAAUGUGGAAAUAGAUAAAAAUGGUAUGUUUAACAACACUUCCAUCACUCCAAAAAAAAAAUUUAAUUAUAAAAAGCUUUAUUCAUUAUUUGGCUUAGAAACUACAUCCCUAUUCUCACUUCUAUAUUUAAAUUUGUUUUUGCUCUGUUUUGGCAUUUGAACUUUGCUCCGUUAUCCUUUUUAGUACUUAAAAAUUGACUAGUGAUAACGUGCGCCAUUGAUGACAUGACAAAAUCACUAAAUUAAAAUUAUAAAAGAAAGUAAAAAAGGUAUUUAAAAAAUAUAAAAAAUACAAAAAAAAAUGGUAAAACUUAUUAAAACAAUACAAAUACAGAAGUGAAAGGAGCCAAUUAUGAGCGGUCUGUUAAUAUGGUAUUUUUCUUAAUCGUAUAUUAGUUUUUUUUUGUUAAAAAUAAAAGGCUUAAAAUGUGUGUAAAUGAUUAGUCUUUUUGCGUUCGCUUCAACUCUCUCUUUUGACAUGACUUGGUUGUAAUUUUCCUCCUUACUGGAAUUGGGUCCCCUCAUCUUAAAUGUGAAAGCAUUCCAACAUUUCAAUUAUUGACAUAGAAAAGAAUGUUUUAGGACUGUGAUUUUUGUUAAUACCACCAUUUUGCCAUGCAUUGCGAUUAAUGAACAGGGUAGCAUACUUUUUUUUGGACAAGGUGCUUUUUCAAAUUUAUAGACACGUACAAUGAUGCUAAUCUAUGGUAGUGCUAGUGCCCAGUUUAUAGUCUAAUAUUCCCCAACAUUAGUUUCAAAUCACCAAAUCUGCUUAACCUAGGAACUUUCAGUACGUAGGAUCUAAAAUGAUCAUAUAAGAAAGCAUGGAUAAGCAUGAUAGGUCAUAAUUUAUAACUAAUGUGGAAAUUGAGAUACAUGAUUACUUGACAAGAAAUAGAUUCCAACUGGAAAAUACAUACAGGAGUAGACUCUAGACUUCACUAAAAUGACAAACUCGAAUUCAUAUCACUUUAGUUAUGUGAAUGAAUACGAUAGACUACAAUGGAACCCCUAAAGACUCAAUGCAGAUAAUUGAUUCCCUUUAUUCUUAGAUUUAUUGAAAGUUUCAUAGCCAAGCAUGUUCAAGGACGUGGGUUUGUUCCUGCAAUGCCAGCACCACGACCUGCUGGAAUUGGCACCUCAAAACCAGGGUUUGGAACGAAUGUGUCAUCACUACCUGGAAGCUGGCGAUUUCCACCAAUUGUGCUGCCAACAUGGCGGCCACUGCUGCCGGUGUGGGUGCCAGUGCCGAUGGUGUGUGGAUUGUGAUGUUUGAAAAUUGGUGGCAGCAACACUCGUCCAAGGCCUGGAAUGAGCACACUACGGUCAUGUUUUAGAAAUUCAGGUUGUUUCAUUUGAUCAUCAUUCUUCGAGAUGUCACGUGCUGCAAUGGCUUGCCCAGCAAUAACAAACAGAAUGCUGAGCAUGAAAACGUGAGUAAGCAAGGAACUAAUUUUGCAAUCCAUUAUCAGAGUAAGUAAGAGUGAGAGCUAGGAUUGGUUCUGAUAUGAUGGGGAGAAGGGAUUAAAUAAUGCUUCUUAUAGAGAAGGUCUAAGUGAGUUGGUUGAUCAAUUGGCGGUGAGUUAGAAAGAGCAUUCCAUUUUAAAAGCACCAUUGAAGGAGACGUCCCAUAAAAACAGAAGCAAAGCAUGCAAUAAUUAGCAUGAAUUGCAUGGGUAGGUUAGGUGGCUUAGGGUUUGCCAUGUUGGGUGAGGUUUUUGGGUAAGUUAUGAGAUUUUUCUCUUCAAAGGCUAUGUGUAUCUAUACUAAAAACGCUUAAAUUAUAUUUACAUUAUGUUUUUAUACUAUAUUUUGACUAAUUCAUUCUUUCACCACAACUCUAUUGGAAACUCAGAUGAAUAUGUAUCUGUCAUGGAAGAUCCACAACUUGUAAUUAUCUUUUCUUUUGUCGGUUUAAUUCAACUUAAUAUUAAUUGAAAACAUGUAAACAAAAAAAUCAUACAAAAAUAUAUAUUUGACAUUGGAGUGAUAACAAAAGCUUUGUUAUGUUGUAAAUUCAAUGAAUAAUAGGCAUGUAUAGCAUACAAUGAAAAAAAUGUACAUAAACAUUUUAGUAAAAAAAAAAACACUUUGAUACCAUAUUAAAAUAGAUAUAAAAUUAUUUAAAACAAAAAAAGUUAAAUUGACUAGAAAAAACCUAAUUUAUUAUUGGUGAGAAUAUGGUCUAAGCACUUAUACUUUUUACACUAGUUCCUCUACUUAUAUUUCUACUAAUUUAUUACACGUAUUUUUUGAAUUUAAAAAUUUAAGUUCAAGUAUUAACCCUGUUAAAAUUAUUUAAUUAAAUUCAUUAAUAAAAUAUUUUAAAAUAAAAAAACUCACUUGAUAGUUAUGUAACAAAAACAAAUGAUAUUAUAAUAGGAUUAAAUUUAACAAAAAAUUAACAAUUAAACUUGUAUUUUUAAAUUCAAAAAAUAAAGAUACUAAAUUUUUUAAAAAAUAAAUUGAAAGAUUAAAUUAUAUGAAAAAAUAUAUAUAUAUAACACAUAUUUAAAUUUAAAUUUGAAUAUGAUGACCCACAAAUAGUGACUUGCAAAAUGUUGACUGCUACCAAAUAAAACGGAGCAAUAAAGGAUUUGAUGCAUAAAGCCUAGAGGUGUAAACCAUUUUGCUCACAUGGAUAUAUUCAAUGUGUGUAUAAAUAUGGGUGAAAUGAGAAUUGUCUAUUUAUAUUAAAGCAAUGCUUAUUUAGCUUGCAUUUUUACAUUUAAAAAAACUAAGGCUCCUUUUUAUUUUAAAACUGGUAUUUUUUAUUUUUAAAAUUAAAAAACAUCUUCGGUAAAAAGAAAAAUUUUCAGUAAUAUAAAAAUACGAUUCAUAUUUAUUUCCUAUAAUAGAAACAUGAGAAAAAAAAUAAUUUUUUUUAAAAAAAUACUAAAAAUCAUAGAAAAGUGUAAAACUUUUUAAAACAUUACAAAUUUUGCAGUGUGCAGUGUGUUUGCUUAAUCUGUUGGGUAGUAGAUAUUUGGUAGUAUUUAACAGUUUGAAGUUGCAAAAUAAAGAAAUGUCAAAUCAUGGAUUUUUUAUCAUUCAAGAUACAAAAUUUCAAAAAGGCUAAUAAAAAAUAUUAUGCUUUUCGACAAAAAAGAAGAAGCUUGUACUUGUUUUGGAGAAAUAAGAAAAUCUUAUAUGAGUAGUUCUGCUAAAAAUGUAUUUAUUAAGACAUUUUAUUAGUCAGCAAGGCCAUUAAGUUGAGGUUUUAAAAGGGUUAAUAUCACAAAUUGCCAAACAUAGGACAUGGAACAUUUGUUUCUUUGGUGCCAAUUUGCUCGAGCAAUAUGAAGUUAUUUGGGGUUCAAGUCAUGCAGGGUUUGGUCCAAUAUUUUAUCAUCACGAGUCGAAAAUCCUUCAAUGCAAUUAAAAUCCAAGUCCAACCAGCACAAAACCGAGGCGAAGGGGGACAGAUACAUGGUUAACAAAGCUUAAUCAUACGAUAGGACCAAAUUGGGAGUGAGAAGGAAAUGGGGACAGGAGGAAGAUUGGUCAGAGAAUGUGGAAAAGGAGAACAGAUUAGUAGCUAAAACCGACUCCAAGAAGCUGGGAAGGGGUUUCCAUCAUGAAAUGGUAGCUAAAAGUGAAGAAACUCGGGGAGGUUCUACAGUUUCACGGGUAGACAGAACAAAUAGAACUAGUAAAAGGAGCCAAUUAUGUUAAUAUGGUAUUUUCCUUAAUCAUAUAUUAGCUUUUUGAUAAAAAUAAAUGGCCUCAAAUGGGUCUUAGCCAAUCUGCAUUCUCUUCAGCUGUCACCUUUGGCAUGACUUUGUUGUAUUUUCCCUCAUUACUGGAAUUGGGUCCCCUCAUCUUAAAUGUGAAAGCAUUCCAGCAUUUUAAUAAUUGACAUAGAAAAGAAUGUUUUAAGGCUGUGAUUUUUAUUAAAACCACCAUUUUGCCAUGUCAUUGUAGUUAAUGAACAGAGUAGCAUACUUUUUUUUGGACAAUGUGCAAGUUCUCUUUUUCAAAUUCAUAGACACGUACAGUGACGCUCCUCUAGGGUAUUGCUAAGUGCCCAUUUUAUAUAGUCUAAUGUUCCCUAAUAUUAGUUUCAAAUUACCAAAUCUGUUUAAGGCAGGAACUUUUAGUAGGAUCUAAAAUGAUCAUAUAGGAAAUCAUUAAUAAGUAUAAUAGACCACAAUUGAUAACUAAUUUGGAAAUUCAGAUGCAUGAUGACUUGGCAAGAAAUAGUUUCCGACUAGAAAAUGCAUACAGGACUAGGAGUAGGCUCUAGACUUUAAAAUGACAAACUCGAAUUCAUAUAAUUUUAAUUAUGUGAAUGACUACGAUAUAUUACAAUGGGACCCCGAAAGACUCAAUGUAGAUAAGUGAUUCCCUUUAUUCUUUAAUUGAUUGAAAGUUUCAUAGCCAAGCAUGUUCAAGGACGUGGGUUUGUUCUUGCAAUGCCAGCACCACCACCUGUUGGAAUUGGCACCUCAAAACCAGGGUUUGGAACGAAUGUAUCAUCACCACCUCGAAUCUGGCGAUUUCCACCAAUUGUGCUGCCAAAGUGGCCUCCACUGCUGCCGGUGUGGGUGCCAGUUCCGAUAGUGUGUGAAUUGUGAUGUUUGAAAACUGGUGGCAACAACACUCGUCCAAGGCCUGGAAUGAGCACGCUACGGUCAUGUUUUAGAUAUUCAGGUUGUUUCAUUUUAUAAUCAUUCUUCGAGAUGUCACGUGCUGCAAUGGCUUGCCCGGCAAUAGCAAACAGAAUGCUGAGGAUGAAAACAUGAGCAAGAAGCAAGGAACUAAUUUUGCAAGCCAUUAUCAGAGUAAGUAAGAGUGAGAGC
Molecule: long non-coding RNA, 13103 nt
Filed under: Gossypium barbadense (sea-island cotton)
Lineage: Eukaryota; Viridiplantae; Streptophyta; Magnoliopsida; Malvales; Malvaceae
Description: long non-coding RNA (GBAR_LNC021868)
Source: RNAcentral